CCCUUGUAAAAUUUAAGAAGCCAUUCAUAUAAUGGCCAACCUAAGAAAGAUAAGAGGGACCAGUUAGUUUGGCAGACUUGUAAAAGUUAAACAAAGCAAAGUAUAAGGAAGAAAUAAGAUAGUUAUUCAUUUGGAUGAAGAAAUCCACCAUAUCCCUCUACUGGGAAGUGGAUCCCAAUUCUUUCAGCUUCUUGGCAUU
This 199-nucleotide long non-coding RNA is filed under the name Elaeis guineensis (African oil palm). RNAcentral describes it as "long non-coding RNA (EGUI_LNC014964)". The record is from RNAcentral. Lineage: Eukaryota; Viridiplantae; Streptophyta; Magnoliopsida; Arecales; Arecaceae.